CACAGGUGCUGCAUGGCUGUCGUCAGCUCGUGUCGUGAGAUGUUCGGUUAAGUCCGCUAACGAGCGCAACCCUCGCUGUGUGUUAUAUGUGUCACACGGGACUGCCGGUCUUAAGCCGGAGGAAGGUGGGGAUGAUGUCAAGUCAGCAUGGCCUUUAUAUCCUGGGCUACACACACGCUACAAUGGCCAGCACAGUAGGUUGCUAAGCCGCGAGGUGGGGCCAAUCCUAAAAGCUGGUCUCAGUUCGGAUUGCAGGCUGCAACUCGCCUGCAUGAAGUCGGAGUUGCUAGUAACCGCGCGUCAGCUAUAGUGCGGUGAAUACGUUCCCGGGCCUU
RNAcentral lists this ribosomal RNA (335 nucleotides) under uncultured Leptolinea sp. Its description in RNAcentral is "bacterial SSU rRNA". It matches the Rfam family "Bacterial small subunit ribosomal RNA", at positions 1033 to 1382 of the family's 1533-position model. The record is from RNAcentral. Lineage: Bacteria; Bacillati; Chloroflexota; Anaerolineae; Anaerolineales; Anaerolineaceae.